GGCGAGCCCGAUAAGAGGGCUGUGGACGUUCGGGUCUAGUUGGGAGAGACAGGGGUCCCUGACUCUUGAGCGGUCAGUCAUUUCCUCCCCAGUCCUUGUGGGUGACGUGGCUACGGUUUGGAGCAGCAAGCCCCCUCCCCGAACUAAAGGGCCUCUCCAAAGGUUAAGCCAGGGCAGUCAUUGAGGUCAAAACCAAUAUGUAGUUUCUUGACUGCAGGUGCCUGCACGACUCCCAGAAAGUCGCGUCUCCCCUAACCCCCAUGCCCAGGACCUGAGGACAAAGGUCUAGCGAUUGUCCAUCCCCUCCCCCAGUGAGGACAGCCGGGAAAGACCUGCCUUUGUUGUGUACAGGUGGUAUCUCACUGUGUUAUCCAGACUGGACUCAAAUUUCUGGGCUCCAAUGGUCCUCUCACCUCAGCCUCCCAAGUAGUCAGGACUACAGGUACACACUACUGUGCGUGGCUAUUGUAUUUUCUUGAUUGUUGCUUUAAUAAUUUUUAUGUGCUUCCUUUUACUUUCUUUGAGUUCAUUCUUUAUUUUCUACUGUCAUCGGUUGGGUGCUUAAUUAUGUCAUUUUCAGGUUUUAAUUUCUAAUAUAAGCAUACAAG
Long non-coding RNA from Homo sapiens (human), 608 nucleotides. Ensembl annotates it as BRPF3 antisense RNA 1. Its record names the gene BRPF3-AS1. The record is from Ensembl. Lineage: Eukaryota; Metazoa; Chordata; Mammalia; Primates; Hominidae.